GCGUAGGCAUCUAUCCUCAGGUGGGGGACAACCGUGGGAAACUACGGCUAAUACCGCAUGACGACUGAGGUCCAAAGCCCUUUGGGGCGCCUGGGGCGGAGCCUGCGUCCGAUUAGCUUGUUGGUGGGGUAAAGGCCUACCAAGGCGAUGAUCGGUAGCUGGUCUGAGAGGAUGAUCAGCCACACUGGGACUGAGACACGGCCCAGACUCCUACGGGAGGCAGCAGUGGGGAAUAUUGGACAAUGGGCGCAAGCCUGAUCCAGCAAUGCCGCGUGGGUGAAGAAGGUCUUCGGAUUGUAA
RNAcentral lists this ribosomal RNA (300 nucleotides) under uncultured Acetobacteraceae bacterium. Its description in RNAcentral is "bacterial SSU rRNA". It matches the Rfam family "Bacterial small subunit ribosomal RNA", at positions 115 to 428 of the family's 1533-position model. Lineage: Bacteria; Pseudomonadati; Pseudomonadota; Alphaproteobacteria; Acetobacterales; Acetobacteraceae. The record is from RNAcentral.